CAGAGCCAGAAGCAGUAUUCAGCACAAUUUUAAAUUGCGUUAUAAUGUGACACACGAGAUGAUGGGCUGGUGCUGGUGCUGCGACUCUCCCAAAACAUGCCAUUAGGGGUUGUACUUUUCACAACACUCAAGUGGUUACUCGAGGAUAUUCAAUAUCCUUAGCGAUCAACCCCUCUUGACUUUGACGACUGUUUUCAUGUACCUACUUCAGGAGGGCCUCUGGUAGACGUCGAACAAUUUGUUAAUGAGCAAAUUACAUGCAGAACAGUGGACACGCCCUCAAAGUGAUUCACAACCUCCCUCCCGUCCCCAUACAUUUUCCCAAGAAUUUUUGGGAAAUUCUUUCGAUGAUAAGGCAAACAACUAUAAAAACUGUUGAAGCGUAAAAGGAUGCCCCCAGAAUAUGCCUGGCAGGGUUGUCAAGUGUGCUCAGGGAACUGGGUUUGCCAUGUUUUCAUGAAAUAUUUUGCAUAUUUCUUUGAAUUUUUAGUGGAAUUAAUAUAUUUUAUAGGUCAUUCUCUUCUGCUAGGGUUGUCACAUCUUUUUAGUAUUAUAAUACUCUGAAACAUGAAAUCUAUUGCUAUUUUUCGUUCAAUAAAUUACGAAGAGAG
Drosophila miranda is the source of this 611-nucleotide long non-coding RNA. RefSeq lists it as uncharacterized. The transcript has 3 exons. The record is from RefSeq and is a predicted model, not a curated record. Lineage: Eukaryota; Metazoa; Arthropoda; Insecta; Diptera; Drosophilidae.